Molecule: long non-coding RNA, 821 nt
Organism: Mytilus californianus (California mussel)
Lineage: Eukaryota; Metazoa; Mollusca; Bivalvia; Mytilida; Mytilidae
Exons: 5
Source: RefSeq, a predicted model, not a curated record
GUUAGUCAUCUAUAUAUCAUAUUAGUUUAAACAUAUUUUAUUUGCUCAAAAACCAGUUGUAUCUUUAUUUGCUGAAAUAGAAGUUGAAUAAGAUACAAGUAAAAAAAACGUAAAGGAAAAAAACGAUGGAAGAAAACAUUAGAUAUAUUAUUUGUUUCCUAACUUUAAAAGACAGUAGGUUUAACAAGCAUUAGCGAAAGUAACUAUAGGUGUAUCAGUUACAGUAGGUUUAACAAGCAUUAGCGAAAGUAACUAUAGGUGUAUCAGUUACAGUAGGUUUAACAAGCAUUAGCGAAAGUAACUAUAGGUGUAUCAGUUACAGUAGGUUUAACAAGCAUUAGCGAAAGUAACUAUAGGUGUAUCAGUUACAGUAGGUUUAACAAGCAUUAGCGAAAGUAACUAUAGGUGUAUCAGUUACAGUAGGUUUAACAAGAAUUAGCGAAAGUAACUAUAGGUGUAUCAGUUACAGUAGGUUUAACAAGCAUUAGCGAAAGUAACUAUAGGUGUAUCAGUUACAGUAGGUUUAACAAGCAUUAGCGAAAGUAACUAUAGGUGUAUCAGUUUCAAAAUGCCAUUAAGAGAAUAAUAUAUGACCAUUGUAAAAGAGAAAUAAAGGAUUUCUAAAUGUAUUCAUUUGUUAGUUUUUAUGGACUUCCCCUUUUUGAAUUUACCUUGUAGUUGGUAUUUUUACUUUUUUUCAGAGUUAAUUAAAAAGUAAUGUAAUAAUCUAGUUACCAUUUCCAUAUAGGAUUUUAUUAAUACAAGAAAAGAAGUCUGAAACUGAAGACAUGAUUCAUUGUUAACAUUGAAAUAAAUAUAAU